GUUGGCGGCCAUAGUUAGGAGCUAGGACCCGUACCCAUUCCGAACACGGAAGUGAAUCUCCUAAGCGAUCUAGGUUGUAGUGUUGUGCGAGAGCCUACGCGAACCCUAGACCGCUGCCAACU
RNAcentral lists this ribosomal RNA (122 nucleotides) under Candidatus Bathyarchaeota archaeon RBG_13_38_9. Lineage: Archaea; Thermoproteati; Candidatus Bathyarchaeota. RNAcentral also lists the same sequence under 2 other names. The record is from RNAcentral.